Molecule: ribosomal RNA, 467 nt
Filed under: uncultured bacterium
Lineage: Bacteria
Description: partial 16S ribosomal RNA
Rfam family: Bacterial small subunit ribosomal RNA
Source: RNAcentral
GAUGAACGCUGGCGGCGUGCUUAACACAUGCAAGUCGAACGGAAAGGCCCAAGCUUGCUUGGGUACUCGAGUGGCGAACGGGUGAGUAACACGUGGGUGAUCUGCCCUGCACUUCGGGAUAAGCCUGGGAAACUGGGUCUAAUACCGGAUAGGACCACUUCUUGGAUGUUGUGGUGGAAAGUUUUUUCGGUGUGGGAUGAGCUCGCGGCCUAUCAGCUUGUUGGUGGGGUAAUGGCCUACCAAGGCGUCGACGGGUAGCCGGCCUGAGAGGGUGUACGGCCACAUUGAGACUGAGAUACGGCCCAGACUCCUACGGGAGGGAGCAGUGGGGAAUAUUGCACAAUGGGCGCAAGCCUGAUGCAGCGACGCCGCGUGGGGGAUGACGGCCUUCGGGUUGUAAACUCCUUUCGCUAGGGACGAAGCGUUUUGUGACGGUACCUGGAGAAGAAGCACCGGCUAACUACGUG